GGUGAACUAAGAAGUGGAAAGUGGCGAACGGGUGAGUAACGCGUGGGUAACCUGCCUCAUGGAAAGGAAUAGCCUCGGGAAACUGGGAGUAAAGCCUUAUAUUAUUGAGUUGUCGCAUGGCAAUUCGAUGAAAACUCCGGUGCCAUGAGAUGGACCCGCGUCCCAUUAGCUAGUUGGUGAGAUAACAGCCCACCAAGGCAACGAUGGGUAACCGGUCUGAGAGGGCGAACGGUCACACUGGAACUGAGACACGGUCCAGACUCCUACGGGAGGCAGCAGUGGGGAAUAUUGCGCAAUGGGGGAAACCCUGACGCAGCAAUACCGCGUGAGUGAAGAAGGUUUUCGGAUCGUAAAACUCUUUUAUUGGGGAAGAAGAAGUGACGGUACCCAAUGAAGAAGUCCCGGCUAACUACGUGCCAGCAGCCGCGGUAAUACGUAGGGGACAAGCGUUGUCCGGAAUCACUGGGCGUAAAGGGCGCGUAGGCGGUUUUAUAAGUCAGAUGUGAAAGGUACCGGCUCAACCGGUGACGUGCAUUUGAAACUGUAAGACUUGAGUACUGGAGAGGCAAGUGGAAUUCCUAGUGUAGCGGUGAAAUGCGUAGAUAUUAGGAGGAACACCGGUGGCGAAGGCGGCUUGCUGGACAGAUACUGACGCUGAGGUGCGAAAGCGUGGGGAGCGAACAGGAUUAGAUACCCUGGUAGUCCACGCCGUAAACGAUGAUGACUAGGUGUUGGGGAAACUCAGUGCCGC
This 751-nucleotide ribosomal RNA is filed under the name uncultured Eubacterium sp. RNAcentral's name for it is "bacterial SSU rRNA". It matches the Rfam family "Bacterial small subunit ribosomal RNA", at positions 77 to 849 of the family's 1533-position model. Lineage: Bacteria; Bacillati; Bacillota; Clostridia; Eubacteriales; Eubacteriaceae. The record is from RNAcentral.